RNAcentral lists this non-coding RNA (30 nucleotides) under Rattus norvegicus (Norway rat). Lineage: Eukaryota; Metazoa; Chordata; Mammalia; Rodentia; Muridae. The record is from RNAcentral.
UUCAAGACAGAGUUAACUGCCAUGCAUAAC